Pantherophis guttatus is the source of this 681-nucleotide long non-coding RNA. RefSeq lists it as uncharacterized. Lineage: Eukaryota; Metazoa; Chordata; Lepidosauria; Squamata; Colubridae. The record is from RefSeq and is a predicted model, not a curated record.
UUGGUGAUGGCUGUUCUUCCAAAGGCAAAGGAGACAAUGGAGCAACAUGGCACCUAUCAUUGUCCAUCAGUAGGCUGUAUGAGAGCAGAUGGCCUGAGUAGAAAAGUCAAGUGAUGAUUGCAGAAUUCUGGCAACAUUCUGAUGUCCUGUGACAACAUAAGUGAGACUUACAUCAGACCCCUUUAUGGUGGUUAUAAAUCUCACCACAGUGCAGAAAUGCAAGAGCUCAGGAAAAACAAGAUUUGAAAAAAGAUGAAAUAUUCCAGCAUCAUCAAAUGCUUGGAAUGUCUUCAUUCAAAGAAAGAACACCAGUGCAAAUAUAUUUUAUCUGAUAUCAACAAUAGAAUGCUGUAACCAGCACAAGACUGUUGUUCUACGUAUGGAUUUUACUGUGUGGUCUUCCAGAAUAUGUCAUGGUGGAGAGCAUUACAUGAGUUGUGGGAUGUCCCAUUCCAAUGGAAACAAUACCUAUUGAGCUCCCCCUGUAGAUAUCUCAUCAAAUUUUUAUUUGUACGUCUGCUUUGCUCAAGCAGUGAAGCCAGCAAAAGAAGGUGUGGAAUUCCAGAAGAAGAGGGGCCUCUUGAAUUUCCAAAUUCAGUAUCAACAUAGAAGCAUUAACACUUCUUUAUGGAUUGGGUCUAAAAGUGUGCAAUAAAAUAAAAUAAAUAUGCAGAAACAUGA